GCCCUCAUAGCUCAGACGGUAGAGCGCACCCUUGGUAAGGGUGAGGUCAUGGGUUCAAGUCCCAUUGGGGGCU
RNAcentral lists this transfer RNA (73 nucleotides) under Anaerolineae bacterium. RNAcentral describes it as "tRNA-Thr". It matches the Rfam family "tRNA". Rfam says of the family: Transfer RNA (tRNA) molecules are approximately 80 nucleotides in length. Their secondary structure includes four short double-helical elements and three loops (D, anti-codon, and T loops). Lineage: Bacteria; Bacillati; Chloroflexota; Anaerolineae. The record is from RNAcentral.